Molecule: long non-coding RNA, 179 nt
Organism: Octopus sinensis (East Asian common octopus)
Lineage: Eukaryota; Metazoa; Mollusca; Cephalopoda; Octopoda; Octopodidae
Exons: 3
Source: RefSeq, a predicted model, not a curated record
UAUAUAUAUACUGAAGAGAAGAUAUUUAAAGACAUACCUUUUUUGGGUCAUUGCUACAUUUUUUGCUAACUCUGUAUAAUCUUUGUUUCAGAAAAUAAUAAUGGCAGACCUCCAGCUUACUCAAAAAAUGAAGAGGCAUCUAGUUAUUUUGGUUAUAAAGGCUGAGCAUAGCAAUUUGA